AUUGAACGCUGGCGGCAUGCCUUACACAUGCAAGUCGAACGGCAGCACGGGGCAACCUGGUGGCGAGUGGCGAACGGGUGAGUAAUGCAUCGGAACGUACCUUUCAGUGGGGGAUAACGUAGCGAAAGUUACGCUAAUACCGCAUAUUCUGUGAGCAGGAAAGCAGGGGAUCGCAAGACCUUGCGCUGAUUGAGCGGCCGAUGUCAGAUUAGCUAGUUGGUGAGGUAAAGGCUCACCAAGGCGACGAUCUGUAGCGGGUCUGAGAGGAUGAUCCUCCACACUGGAACGGAGACACGGUCCAGACUCCUACGGGAGGCAGCAGUGGGGAAUUUUGGACAAGGGGGGCAACCCUGAUCCAGACAUGCCGCGUGAGUGAAGAGGGCCUUCGGGUUGUAAAGCUCUUUCGGCCGGGAAGAAAUCGCACGGGCUAAUACCCUGUGUGGAUGACGGUACCGGAAUAAGAAGCACCGGCUAACUACGUGCCAGCCGCCGCAGUAA
This 498-nucleotide ribosomal RNA is filed under the name uncultured bacterium. RNAcentral's name for it is "partial 16S ribosomal RNA". It matches the Rfam family "Bacterial small subunit ribosomal RNA", at positions 30 to 523 of the family's 1533-position model. The record is from RNAcentral.